This is a long non-coding RNA of Gorilla gorilla gorilla (western lowland gorilla), 428 nucleotides long. RefSeq lists it as uncharacterized. The transcript is spliced from 4 exons. NCBI's taxonomy places the organism in Eukaryota, Metazoa, Chordata, Mammalia, Primates, Hominidae. The record is from RefSeq and is a predicted model, not a curated record.
UACUUUUCCUCAUCUGCAUUUUAAAGAAUCUUCUUUAUAUUUGUGUUGUCCUGAAAUUUCCUUGCGAAGUGUUUUGCUGUGGAUCCUUCACGAGCCCUCAUUCUGGGCACUCAGUGGGCUCUUUCAAUGCUGGAAUCAUUGAAGACAAAGCCAGACAGGAUUUCAGGCUUCUCAAAGGACACCUGGCUCAACUGAACGACUAGCUUAUUUUAUCACUCUGUAGGUCAUCCUGACCCUUAGAAACAGAAUUGAAGAGAGGAGGGAGCACCAUGCAAUUGUCACACCAUUACUCCUAGCCCCAGAGAUGCAAUGAUAAAGAAGUUCAGAGAUGCAAAAGAGACGGCUGGAAAGAGCCAUCACAGCACACUGUUUGAUUUCUCCCAGCGUUUUGAAAUCUUAGUGUCUUCAAGGAGUCUUACAAUACAAGG